RNAcentral lists this ribosomal RNA (253 nucleotides) under uncultured bacterium. Its description in RNAcentral is "partial 16S ribosomal RNA". It matches the Rfam family "Bacterial small subunit ribosomal RNA", at positions 524 to 776 of the family's 1533-position model. The record is from RNAcentral.
UACGGAGGGUGCAAGCGUUAUCCGGAUUUACUGGGCUUAAAGGGUGUGUAGGCGGGCUGUUAAGUCAGUGGUGAAAUCUCCGGGCUCAACCCGGAAACUGCCAUUGAUACUAAUGGUCUUGAAUUUUGUUGAGGUAGGCGGAAUAAGUCAUGUAGCGGUGAAAUGCAUAGAUAUGACUUAGAACACCAAUUGCGAAGGCAGCUUGCUAAACAAAUAUUGACGCUGAGGCACGAAAGCGUGGGGAUCAAACAGG